GGCCCGUUCGUCUAGGGGUUAGGACGCUGCCCUCUCAAGGCGGUAACACGAGUUCGAAUCUCGUACGGGCUACAA
RNAcentral lists this transfer RNA (75 nucleotides) under Fidelibacterota bacterium. RNAcentral describes it as "tRNA-Glu". It matches the Rfam family "tRNA". From Rfam's summary of the family: Transfer RNA (tRNA) molecules are approximately 80 nucleotides in length. Their secondary structure includes four short double-helical elements and three loops (D, anti-codon, and T loops). The record is from RNAcentral. Lineage: Bacteria; Pseudomonadati; Fidelibacterota.